Molecule: ribosomal RNA, 197 nt
Filed under: uncultured Anaerolineaceae bacterium
Lineage: Bacteria; Bacillati; Chloroflexota; Anaerolineae; Anaerolineales; Anaerolineaceae
Description: partial 16S ribosomal RNA
Rfam family: Bacterial small subunit ribosomal RNA
Source: RNAcentral
GUCAAGUCAGCAUGCCUUUAUAUCCUGGGCUACACACACGCUACAAUGGUCUGUACAAUGGUAGCCAAGCCGCGAGGCGGAGCCAAUCCUGAAAGCAGGCCUCAGUUCAGAUUGCAGUCUGCAACUCGACUGCAUGAAGCCGGAGUCGCUAGUAAUCGCAGAUCAGCAACGCUGCGGUGAAUACGUUCCCGGGCCUU